UAAUACUUUUUUUGUAGCGGAAUAUUCGUUACCUUUAGAUUUAUUGACUAAAUCAAAAGUAAACAUACAAUUGGAGUCACCACCGCACUUUUAUUUGUCCAAAGGAAAGACUAAAAAGGGAACAAAAGUCAAGUAAGAAGUUUUAUCAAAUCAAAAACUAAUAAAACUGUCAGAGAUCUGGGUAAGGGGGUUGGUUAUGAGAUGGGAAGGUUUUAAGCACCCAAAACAUCCUUAGUACUCAAGGGAGCCUUUUUGCAAAUGUGUAUUGUAGAUUGGUAUUUGUGAAAAGAUUUGUGCAAAUAUGAUUGGGGAGAUGAGAAAAGAAUAUACAUUAUAUUUACAAUUUUGUUGUUUGAAUGGAUGAACUCAUUGCCUACGUACCGUCACAAAGGUAGAAUCAAAACCUCGUAGUUCGGGG
This 418-nucleotide long non-coding RNA is filed under the name Lathyrus oleraceus (garden pea). RNAcentral describes it as "Pisum sativum (pea) long non-coding RNA (PSAT_LNC022655)". Lineage: Eukaryota; Viridiplantae; Streptophyta; Magnoliopsida; Fabales; Fabaceae. The record is from RNAcentral.